RNAcentral lists this long non-coding RNA (316 nucleotides) under Fukomys damarensis (Damara mole-rat). RNAcentral's name for it is "lncRNA (ENSFDAG00000025728.1)". The record is from RNAcentral. Lineage: Eukaryota; Metazoa; Chordata; Mammalia; Rodentia; Bathyergidae.
CAGACACCAGGCCUGGCCUUACACGCAGUGCGGUUCCCAGCCAACUGGCAGCUCUCCACCACAAAUGACUGUUAUUCUGCUAUUUCCAGGUCCUUCCCCAACACCGGAGCUUGGUCCCCACCUAUAGAUACAGCACAGAGACACAAGGAUGCUAACACCACUGGAGCAACCUUCAGCAACUGGAGGAUGGGCCUGUGGUUCACAGAGGAGUCCAGAUAGAGCCAUAUGGGAGGCGUUGUGGAGGAUAAGAGGACAACUUCAGUGUUCAUUACUAGCUAAGUACCCAGGUGAAUGCAACUACAGGAGAGACCCAGGC